This is a long non-coding RNA of Papilio polytes (common Mormon), 1982 nucleotides long. RefSeq lists it as uncharacterized. The record is from RefSeq and is a predicted model, not a curated record. The transcript is spliced from 2 exons. Lineage: Eukaryota; Metazoa; Arthropoda; Insecta; Lepidoptera; Papilionidae.
CGGCGCCGGCAUCACCGCCGCUAUACGCUCCGACCUGCGCCGGCAAGCUGCGCAGAACAAUUCCAAGGGCUAAAGCACAACGCCGAGAAGGAGUCCGCUUAGAAUACAGCAUUUUUAGGAUGCGAUGUUAUGAUCUCUGCAAACGACGCACGAAAAUUUAAAACCUAGUAAUACAUUUUACGUAGAGAAAUAUAGUAGACAAGUUGAAAGUGAUGUUUUUAAUUCCUGUUUAAGGAAUGUAGAUUAUACAAGACAAUACAUAUUCAAACACUUAGGGUAGGUACUGUUUAAUAGAGAUGUCUCCAUUAUUUUGAAUCGAUUUAUAACAUAUAAUGCCUAUUCCACAUAAAUCAACCUUUUAAUAUAUGAUACUAGUGUGUUUGUUAAAUAACAUUCCAAGGUAGAUGUUUUUUUAAUGUCGUUUUUCUAGUAAAUUUUACCAAUUUUAAAAAUCGAUUCAAAUUAAACGGACCUAUUUUGUGCAUCAAAUAGUGUUUUACUCUUGUAAUAAUAUAUUUAAACACGUAUUGUUAGAAAACGUUGAAAAAUUAAGACAAAAGUUUAGAAAAAUGUAUCCUUUUAUGGAUUUUUUUGUGCAUUUUAAAUAGGAAUUUAGUUUUUUUUCUAUAACGUUUACAAACAGAGCGCAAAGUGUUUAAAAUAUCAUUUUUUUUUAUUUCAUUGCUAACGUUUUACGCACAAUUUUUUUCUAUUAUUUUGUUUUUAAAUAUCUUUGACAGCAAUACACCAAAGCAAUGUAAAUGAAAGUGUUUAACACAAUGACAAGAGACAAAGUAAUUUUAGAUUUCAACUAUUUAAUGUAAUAAUUAAAUAUUUAUGUUUUAAACUCGCAGCGACAGACGUAAUAUAAUAUAUUAGAUUUAGAGAAUAGUUUAAGGAGCUAUAUAAUGAACGUGACAAUAAAUGAAUGACUCGAAAAAUACAUUUAAAAAUAUUUUACCAACUUUGUAGCCUCAAGUGUUUUGGUAUCUGUGUAGUAGUACUAGGUGAAUGCAGAAAUGAUGCCCGGUUUACGCUUGGACAGUACAGUGGGUCAGUAGCGCUCUAUAACUAGAUUGGCAAUCAACUUGCAUAGUAAACACUAAAUGGCGCUAGUAAGUCCAUACAAUUUAUCACUGGCUGUCGCAACCGUCCAACUGUACCGGCCAAGUGUGAACCGGACAUGAUCUUGUACAAUUGUGUAGCCAUAUAAAAAAUAUAUAAAAUAUUAAUGUUCUUGCCUUGAUGCUAUUUAUGGCAAAUAAAAUUGCAUAACAAUUCUUUUUAGGUAUUAGGUUGUGGUUGUUAAUUUUUUUUUGUUAUUUUUUUACACUUUAAAAUAUUUUCCUUAUUCUAAGAAAAGAUAAUUGAGGCUUCGGCCAUGUUUAAAUUAACUUUAUAUGUAAAUUACACCUAUAUCGAUAGAUAGAAAAAUCUGAUUAUACAAAUUUGGACAAUUCAUUAAAUUUUAUGUAUGUCUAUCUCACCUUUAGUUACAAUUUGUUAUUUUCUAAAAAUAUUAAAGUUUUCCAUUUUCCUAAUCGCACUUUUUUAAUGCCUAUGCAUAAAUUUAUGUUUCGCCUAGCGCCUAUAAUUGGAUCAACUAUAAUAAUAAAGCAAAAUAUAAACAGUUGUCAAUCUUUUAAAUUAAUAUUUUAAUAGCUUGCAAUAUGUAUUUUAAGGUGUAUUUAUUUACGGCCUACCUAAGGAUAUAGUAAUCCUGUGACCUGUUUUUCCGCAACAUCCCAAGGAUUUUUAUAUUUCUAGUCAGGCUAUAUCUUACAUCAUGUGAUGAAAUUCAGUAUUAUACACUGUUUAGCAAUAUAUUCUUUUAAGUCAGUAAUCAGUUAGUUAACUUACAAAGGUGAUGUAAAAUAGGAAAUACAUAAUAAAGUUUAAAAUGUGAAAUCAAUUGUCAACUUAUAAAUUGAUGUAUGGUAGUAAGUAAACAAUUUACGAAAUAAAUGUUUGUUAAACUCGAA